Molecule: ribosomal RNA, 1551 nt
Filed under: Enterobacter sp. T1_510
Lineage: Bacteria; Pseudomonadati; Pseudomonadota; Gammaproteobacteria; Enterobacterales; Enterobacteriaceae
Description: bacterial SSU rRNA
Rfam family: Bacterial small subunit ribosomal RNA
Source: RNAcentral
GGCUCAGAUUGAACGCUGGCAGCGCAGGCCUAACACAUGCAAGUCGAACGGUAGCACAGAGAGCUUGCUCUCGGGUGACGAGUGGCGGACGGGUGAGUAAUGUCUGGGAAACUGCCUGAUGGAGGGGGAUAACUACUGGAAACGGUAGCUAAUACCGCAUAACGUCGCAAGACCAAAGAGGGGGACCUUCGGGCCUCUUGCCAUCAGAUGUGCCCAGAUGGGAUUAGCUAGUAGGUGGGGUAACGGCUCACCUAGGCGACGAUCCCUAGCUGGUCUGAGAGGAUGACCAGCCACACUGRAUACCUGAGACACGGUCCAGACUCCUACGGGAGGCAGCAGUGGGGAAUAUUGCACAAUGGGCGCAAGCCUGAUGCAGCCAUGCCGCGUGUAUGAAGAAGGCCUUCGGGUUGUAAAGUACUUUCAGCGGGGAGGAAGGUGUUGUGGUUAAUAACGCGCAGACACAUUGAGCGUUAACCUCGCGAGAAGAAGCACCGGCUAACUCCGUGCCAGCAGCCGCGGUAAUACGAGGUGCAAGCGUAAUGGAUACUGGGCGUAAGCGCACGCAGGCGGUCUGUCAAGUCGGAUGUGAAAUCCCCGGGCUCAACCUGGGAACUGCAUUCGAAACUGGCAGGCUAGAGUCUUGUAGAGGGGGGUAGAAUUCCAGGUGUAGCGGUGAAAUGCGUAGAGAUCUGGAGGAAUACCGGUGGCGAAGGCGGCCCCCUGGACAAAGACUGACGCUCAGGUGCGAAAGCGUGGGGAGCAAACAGGAUUAGAUACCCUGGUAGUCCACGCCGUAAACGAUGUCGACUUGGAGGUUGUGCCCUUGAGGCGUGGCUUCCGGAGCUAACGCGUUAAGUCGACCGCCUGGGGAGUACGGCCGCAAGGUUAAAACUCAAAUGAAUUGACGGGGGCCCGCACAAGCGGUGGAGCAUGUGGUUUAAUUCGAUGCAACGCGAAGAACCUUACCUACUCUUGACAUCCAGAGAACUUUCCAGAGAUGGWUUGGUGCCUUCGGGAACUCUGAGACAGGUGCUGCAUGGCUGUCGUCAGCUCGUGUUGUGAAAUGUUGGGUUAAGUCCCGCAACGAGCGCAACCCUUAUCCUUUGUUGCCAGCGGUCCGGCCGGGAACUCAAAGGAGACUGCCAGUGAUAAACUGGAGGAAGGUGGGGAUGACGUCAAGUCAUCAUGGCCCUUACGAGUAGGGCUACACACGUGCUACAAUGGCGCAUACAAAGAGAAGCGAACUCGCGAGAGCAAGCGGACCUCAUAAAGUGCGUCGUAGUCCGGAUUGGAGUCUGCAACUCGACUCCAUGAAGUCGGAAUCGCUAGUAAUCGUAGAUCAGAAUGCUACGGUGAAUACGUUCCCGGGCCUUGUACACACCGCCCGUCACACCAUGGGGAGUGGGUUGCAAAAGAAGUAGGUAGCUUAACCUUCGGGAGGGCGCUUACCACUGAUGAUCGAUGACUGGGUGAGUACCUCACUAGUGAGAGAGAGGAAGGGAAGGAGUGAUGCAUCGACGCUGGACCACUUGAGAAAUAUAGUCGCUGCAG